CUGGCGGCGUGCCAUGCACAUGCAAUCCGAACGAUGAAGAGCAGCUUGCUGCUCGGAUUAGUGGCAGCACGGGUGAGUAAUGCAUAGAUAAUGUGCCCCUUAGUUCGGGAUAGCCACUGGAAACAGGUGAUUAAUACCGGAUACUCCUUCUUGACUCAAGGUAAGUCGGGAAAGUUUUUCGCUAAGGGAUCAGUCUAUGUCCUAUCAGCUAGUUGGUGAGGUAAUGGCUCACCAAGGCUAUGACAGGUAUCUGGUUUGAGAGGAUGAUCAGACACACUGGAACUGAGACACGGUCCAGACUCCUACGGGAGGCAGCAGUGAGGAAUAUUGCACAAUGGAGGAAACUCUGAUGCAGCAACGCCGCGUGGAGGAUGACGCAUUUCGGUGUGUAAACUCCUUUUAUUAGGGAAGAUAAUGAGGGUACCUAAUGAAUAAGCACCGGCUAACUCCGUGCCAGCAGCCGCGGUAAUACGGAGGGUGCAAGCGUUACUCGGAAUCACUGGGCGUAAAGGGUGCGUAAGCUGGCUUUUAAGUCAGGUGUGAAAUCCAUGGCUCAACCAUUGAACUGCACUUGAAACUGAAAGCCUAAAGUUCAAGAGGGGAAAUGGAAUAAGGGGGGA
This 620-nucleotide ribosomal RNA is filed under the name uncultured Thiomicrospira sp. RNAcentral describes it as "bacterial SSU rRNA". It matches the Rfam family "Bacterial small subunit ribosomal RNA", at positions 36 to 676 of the family's 1533-position model. The record is from RNAcentral. Lineage: Bacteria; Pseudomonadati; Pseudomonadota; Gammaproteobacteria; Thiotrichales; Piscirickettsiaceae.